This 253-nucleotide ribosomal RNA is filed under the name uncultured bacterium. RNAcentral's name for it is "partial 16S ribosomal RNA". It matches the Rfam family "Bacterial small subunit ribosomal RNA", at positions 524 to 776 of the family's 1533-position model. The record is from RNAcentral.
GACGGAAGGUGCAAGCGUUGCUCGGAAUCACUGGGCGUAAAGGGCUCGUAGGCGGCCAACUAAGUCAGACGUGAAAUCCCCAGGCUCAACCUGGGAACUGCGUCUGAUACUGGAUGGCUUGAAUCCGGGAGAGGGAUGCAGAAUUCCAGGUGUAGCGGUGAAAUGCGUAGAUAUCUGGAGGAAUACCGGUGGCGAAGGCGGCAUCCUGGACCGGCAUUGACGCUGAGGAGCGAAAGCCAGGGGAGCAAACGGG